CACCGCGGUUAUACGAGAGGCCCUAGUUGAUAACUACCGGCGUAAAGAGUGGUUAUGGAAAGAUAUUUAAUAAAGCCGAACACCCCCUCAGCCGUCAUACGCACCUGGGAGCACGAAGACCUACCGCGAAAGCAGCUUUAAUUACGCCUGACCCCACGACAGCUAAGAAA
This 170-nucleotide ribosomal RNA is filed under the name Oncorhynchus kisutch (coho salmon). Its description in RNAcentral is "partial 12S rRNA". Lineage: Eukaryota; Metazoa; Chordata; Actinopteri; Salmoniformes; Salmonidae. The record is from RNAcentral.